AUACGGAGGAUCCGAGCGUUAUCCGGAUUUAUUGGGUUUAAAGGGUGCGCAGGCGGCCAUUUAGGUCAGCGGUUAAAUCGUGGGGCUCAACCCCAUUCUGCCGUUGAUACUGGGUGGCUUGAUUGCGGUCGAGGUUGGCGGAAUUCGUUGUGUAGCGGUGAAAUGCAUAGAUAUGACGAAGAACACCGAUUGCGUAGGCAGCUGACCAGAUCGCAAAUGACGCUCAUGCACGAAAGUGCGGGGAUCGAACAGGAUUAGAUACCCUGGUAGUCCGCACAGUAAACGAUGAAUACUUGUUUCCGGCGAUAUAAUGUCGGAGGCAAAGCGAAAGCGAUAAGUAUUCCACCUGGGGAGUACGCCGGCAACGGUGAAACUCAAAGGAAUUGACGGGG
RNAcentral lists this ribosomal RNA (392 nucleotides) under uncultured bacterium. RNAcentral describes it as "partial 16S ribosomal RNA". It matches the Rfam family "Bacterial small subunit ribosomal RNA", at positions 523 to 918 of the family's 1533-position model. The record is from RNAcentral.